CAACGGGUGAAGCCGGGCGACUCUGGCGGGACGUGCCAUCGACAAGAUGGAGGAAGGUGGGGAGUGAUGUCAAGUCAUCAUGGCCCUUAUGUCCAGGGCGACACACGUGCUACAAUGGCCGGCACAGCGGGAAGCGAGGCAGUGAUGCCAAGCGGAUCCCUUAAAGCCGGUCUCAGUUCGGAUUGAAGUCUGCAACUCGACUUCAUGAAGCUGGAAUCGCUAGUAAUCGCAGAUCAGCCAAGCUGCGGUGAAUACGUUCCCGGGCCUU
This 268-nucleotide ribosomal RNA is filed under the name uncultured Synergistaceae bacterium. RNAcentral's name for it is "partial 16S ribosomal RNA". It matches the Rfam family "Bacterial small subunit ribosomal RNA", at positions 1119 to 1382 of the family's 1533-position model. Lineage: Bacteria; Thermotogati; Synergistota; Synergistia; Synergistales; Synergistaceae. The record is from RNAcentral.